Molecule: RNA transcript, 6261 nt
Organism: Diospyros lotus (date-plum)
Lineage: Eukaryota; Viridiplantae; Streptophyta; Magnoliopsida; Ericales; Ebenaceae
Exons: 33
Source: RefSeq, a predicted model, not a curated record
CGCUAGAAGUUGUUGAUGCAUCGGUUGGGGGGAAGAAAACACAGUAGCGAGAGAGAGAGAGAGAGAGAGAGAGAGAGAGAAUGGUGCUCCUCAAUAAUCAACGCAAGAGGAGGCCUUCGACUUCCUCCAAUGCCUUGGCCCAACCCCCCAAAAUCCCCACCAACCACCAGCGACUGCGAUUCGGCGGCGCCAGCGAUGGCGACGGAGCAUCGGAAUCUCAUGUAUCAGCAAUUGACGCCGUCCCUCCUCCUUCUCCCAUCGAGAAGAUGGUGUCAGUGCUAACAGAUGCCGGCUGCACUCUGACGUCGUCGGCGCCGCUCCGUCUCCCGUCCGACAUCCACAAGCUCCGCCACCACCUCCACCGCCUCUUCUCCGAUGACCCCUCUCUCCGCUCCGUCUUCCUUUCCGGCUACUCGUCUUACAUCGAAAGCCCUAUCAAUCUCCGCAGGGUUUUGGUCUCUUCAAAUUUUGACUGCUCUGGUUCGUUGGUAAGGAAAGAAAGCCUAGUUCGAGUUCUGUUACUGGUACCUUCCAUCCAAUUAGACCUUCAAAUCGUGUUGCUCGAGAAGCUUCCCGAGUACUUCGAUCACGGGGAUAAUGCCCACAACACAAGUGGAUUGUAUUCGGCUUCACUUGACGAUGAUGUGGCAAGGCUAAUUCUGAAUCAGUUCAGGUGGCUUGACUUCCUAGUUGAUUCUUAUGCAUUCACCGACAAGUUGUUGCAAGUCCUCUCCAUUUGUCCCCUUCCCUUGAAGAAAGAGAUAAUUGGAUCAUUACCUGAGAUGAUUGGUGAUCAAAACAAUCAAGCAGUAGUUGAUUCACUCACUCAAAUGCUUCAAGAAGACUCCACCAUCAUUGUCCCGGUGCUUGACUCUUUCUCCAACCUCAACUUGGAUGAUCAUUUGCAAGACCAGGUGAUUACAAUAGCAUUAUCCUGCAUACGAACAAUUGAUGCAGAACACAUGCCAUAUCUGCUUAGAUUCUUACUGCUUUCUGCAACAGCAGCAAAUGCUCGAAGAAUAAUCUCACAGAUUAGGGAGCAGUUAAAAUUUUUUGGGUUAUCCAGUAGUACUCGAUUAAUACAGAACAAUAAGCUGAAAGGAAAAUCUUCAGCGGAUAAUGCAGAGUCUUCAGUUCUUGAUGCCCUGAGAUCUAGUCUUCAGUUUAAAAAUAUACUAUGCCAGGAGAUAUUGAAAGAAUUGAAAUGCCUCCAAAGGGCUAGGGAUCACAAGGUCAUUGAUAUCUGGUUGCUUCUGCUCAUAUACAUGAAUGGGGGCUCUUUGCAAAAGAGUGUUGAAAAGAUUUUCAAAAGGAAAAUUAUUGAAGGUUGUAUUCAGGAUGUUUUGUUUGAUCAGUGCAUUCAGGGGAACAAGGAACUAGUACAGGACUACUUUCCCUCAUUUCUUUCAUUGUCUGAGUGCUUGCUGGGAUAUAAAGAACUAAAAGCAAGGGAGUUUGGCAUUCACAUCUUUAGAUCUCUGUUUCAAGAGUUUGUUGACACUUAUUCAAGACAAGAAGUUCUGGGUGCGUUAGUUGCACAUGUGGGUUCUGGCAUUAAUUUUGAAGUGAGUUCUGCCUUGGAUGCAAUGAUUCUGCUUGCCUCCAAGUAUCCGCAGGAAUUGAGUCCACUUUCUUCCCACAUAAACGGUAUCUUGGAUUACCUGGAAGGAUUUAGUGUUGAAAAUCUUCACAAGGUCUAUGAAGUUUUUAGCCUUCUGGCACUGUCUGCAUGGUCUACUUCAGACUCAUUAGGAUCUUCUGCUGCAAAUGAACUCUUGAUGAUUGUAAGAAAGCAGAUUAGUAAUGCAGAUCUAAAGUAUAAAAAGAUGGGUCUGAUUGGAACUCUGAAGAUAGUUUCCUAUCUUGGGGAUGCAAGUAAUGCAUCCUGCUCCUUGUCCCAGAAGCCAGUUUUUGAGGAGGCUGUCGAUCUUUUGAAAACAUGUAUGGAGGCUUGCAAGAAGUUGCCCUUGUCAUCAAUCAUGUUUUCUGAUGAGCUCAGUUCCAUAUUGAGUUGCAGAACUUUUCACCCAGCGGUUAUGGAAUGGAUUGGCAAAUAUGCUAGUGAAUUUGAAUCUUCAUUCUUAGCAGAUGUUGAAGGUGGGCAGUUGUCUGUCAAGGAUUCAUACAGUGGCUUAGAAGGAGAACUAGGGAUGAACUUGGAUGGUGACAUAUCUCCAGUUUGUUUGAACAUUUUGCCAAUGGUUUAUGCAUCAAUGCAGUCAACAUCGUUGAUACAAACUCUUCCUGCUAAAUUUCAUUUACUCUCCAUGAUUGAGAGGGUGGCCAAUCAGGGUUCUCUUGCAGGGAUUGAUGCAUUACUUGGCUGUCCGUUACAUCUUCCUUCCUUUAAGUUCUUCUGUGAAGCAGCAUGGCAGCUUCUGACAGCAAAGCAGAAACAGAUUGUUUGCUUAUCUCUCUACUAUGCAGCUAACUGGAUUAGGGAGCUGCUUAAUGCUUUCUCUACACAAGUUGCUGGAAGAUUUGACUGUGUCAGUCAAGCAACAAAACUGGAAAUAAUUGCGAAGUUAUUGAAGCGCUUAAGAAAUCUUCUGUUUCUGGAGAGCCUGUUAAAUUAUUAUCUCACACAGUAUCCUGUUUCUCUACCUGACCUCUACCCGGACAUGGAUGCAUCCUCAUUUUUAAGCUGCUCUAAUUCUACAAGGAAUUUUGAGAAUAAGAGUAGGCAUAUGGAAACAAAUGUGAGUUCAUCUCCCAACAAGAAGAGGAAAAAUGGUAGGGCAUCAAAGUUGUCAGUAAGUUCAGAUAAUGGAAAAUGCAUGCAGCCCACAAUUGAGGAUGUGUUGAGAAAAUUAGGUUCAAAAACAAGCCAGGAAGUUCCAAAUGGUGAUUCUUCUGGUUUGUGCUCUAAGGAUAGUGCAGCUGAGCCAGCAAAACAUAAUUCCACUCACUCCAGUGACGUAAGCAUAGAAAUUUCUGCACCUACUAAGGUUCUAGAAUCAGAGAGAUACAAAUUCAGGCCUCUUCUUCCUGACUGCUUUUCAAUUUUGGCUUUUUCAGAGGUGCAGAGUCAACAUUCUUGUUGCCCAGACCCUGCUGCAGAGUUACCCCUGUAUCUGUACCUACUUCGUGAUCUUCACUGCAAGCUGGAUUACUUCAUUCUGCCAAGCAAACAAUUUUCAGCCAGAUGCUUAAGCAGUCCACCUUACCUAAGCAGGAUGACUGUAAAUGUGUUCUUAAGCAAAAUACGACCGCUAUUUCCAAGCCUCAGAAAUCAUCUUAAUUGUGCAAUUCAAAUGCUUAAACAAGGCUCUGAGUCAUGUCAGGAGCACUGGAGUGCCCAGUCUGAUUCAGCCAGGAACCCGGGUUUAACCAACAUGGUUAUUUCAAUGUCAUCAGUUUGCAGUUCAGUAAUUAAAGAGACACUUUCUUGCUUUAGCAAGAUGUUAUAUCUUUCUGCUAUUCAGGAGGAAAAAUCUUGCCUAUCAGAUCUUCUUGAGGCCUUCCAGCCCAGCAAGAUACCAGAUUGCAUUUUUUCAGGAAUGCAAUCAAUCCCUUCACCUGGGAACGUAGAUUAUUUAUAUUGUGGUGCUUAUUCAUUCCUAGAAGGAGUUUUGGAAGAAGCAAUUACUUUAUCAUUCUCGUUGGCCUCGGAAGUUCUACUUACUUUGGAUUUAGUAAUUAAAUCUGUUCAGAAACUGCUUGAGAAGUCAGUGCAAGGAUAUGGGAAGAAUAUUCACAACGGACUCUUCCAGGAACUCCUUGCUAACUUGCAUAACAGAUUGGGAACUUCUGCUUAUAAACUUUUGAGGCAUGAUUGGGAUGAUGGCAACCUUGAGAAUGGCUGGAAGGGAAAAGGAGAAGUAGUUCAGAAAAUACUUCACGUUCUUUUGGUAAAUAGCAAAUCCCCUUCUGAUUUGUUGGAUGAGCUUGCUUGCUCUAUCUUACCUCAGGCCCCCUUGACCAAAGGAAUCCAGGAAGAUGAUUUUCAUGGUUUCCCAACUCUUUGUUCUGCAACAUUCAUUGUGUGGUACCGUGUACUGCAUGAAGAGAAUCUUGGUGUUCUUAACAAGUUGGUUACAGAAGUGAGUCUUUUAGAGAACCAGCGAGCUGAAUAUCAAGCAGAAACUGUGGAAGCAGUGCUGAACAAUUUGCAGAAAUCUGUAAAUGUGGUUGUAUCAUUAGUUAACAUGUGCCGGAGUCAUGACAAGAUAAGCGUGCAUGCCUUGGCUGUCAAGUAUGGUGGGAAGUUUGUCGAGUCUUUCCUUAAAGUUUUUGAAUUCUUGCAGACUCAAAUUCAGAUGCAUAAUGAGCUUAUUAUUCAACUGGUCAAAGAGCUUCAGAAGGCAACAAGGACAUUACAAACUCUAUGUUCUGAAGCAAAGGGCUUGAAACAAACAGCUGUAACCAGCAAGAUUCCUGCUACAAAGAGAUCUUUGGAACGAUUCUUAUUCCAUGUCAAGGGUCUCCUCCACACUACAUCAAGUGGAUGCUCUUUCUGGAUGGGUAAUCUGAAGCACAAAGACUUGAUGGGUCAGGUGGUGAGCUCGCAAGCAUAUAUAGAUCAAAAUGAAAAUACUCUUGAAGGUUGUGAGGAAACUGUUGUUGAGGAGCAGCAUGUCAGUGUCCGCAGUGAGGAGGAAAGGGAAACAGAAUGAGACGUGCCUUGUGCAAGCGCUUAAAUAUAUUUUUCAAAACCAAACAGGAUUGAGUCCUAAUAGGUUGACUCAUAAUGUGCUAGCCAUGCUGUUUUUAAAUGAGGAUCCAAGAAUGGAAAUGCUAAUAAGAGCCGCUUCCUGUCUUAUGGAAGUUGAACCUAUAUUUUGCCAAUUGCACAGGUAUGUAUUUCAAGUUAAAACAGUAUCAUCUGUGACCAUGAUUCUGGACAAGGUGUUAACUGAGAGAACAAAGGAAAGCAUCCUAGUCAGAGGGAAUGGCCAUUUGAAAUUGAUAUUAACUACACGAACUGCUGAAACUGUUGUUGGAAGCCUUACGGAAAUGCUGUCCUGUCCUGGACAUUUGAGGCAGCUUCAUUUGUCUAAGACUAUUAAUUCUUUGCUUGAAAGCAAUGGCAAUCAAUAAGACUGCUCACUGCUAACCUUGACAAAGAAACGUUUCAGAACCUAUUUUGAGUAUGCUUUAUAUAUAUAUGGUAAAUGGCCCAUACAUUCAUGAGUUUUGGGCCUUUUAGUCAGACACCCCUUGUUUAUUUUUAACCAAAACUAUCUUUGUGCUUUGCUUAAAUCACCAAUACACUUGUUUUGUGAAUAGCACUCCCAACUAAAUGUGAUUAAAAUAAAAUUAUAUCCAAUUUCAUUUUAAUUAAAAGAAAAAACUAAAAAUAUAAUUAUAAAAAAAAAAAAAACUCCUUGUUGCUGAAUCUGUGGGUUCGGGUAGUUUGUUGGGUUCCAUAGAACCUAACAAUGGAGAAAGAAGAAAAAGAACCAUUGUUGAAUUUGACAACCCAACCAACGGUGAUAAGGACGAAGACAACAGUAGAUAGGCAAAACACAAGAGGUGACUUAAAGAGUGCUUUGCUAUGACAAAGCUAGGGUAGAUCUAAUGAGUCCAAGGUGCUUUAGAUCUAGUGGCGAUGAUGGCAGAGGAGCAAGUUCGAUAAGUGGUGGUGAUUUUUGACGGUGAGAAAGCAAUGAUUGAUAGAUUUUACAAAUGUUGCUGAUUGAUGAUUCCAUGGAACCCAUUGCUAACGACCUUUUUUUUCUUAUUGCUAAAGGAUUUUAGUGUGGUUUUCAUGGUUUCACAAAGAUUUCAACCUCUUUUUUUUGGUUGUCUUCCUUUCUUCUUUCUCAUCGUCAAAUAGUUUAACUGAUGGAUAAAUAGAUAUGUAAACAAACUAUUAUGUUCGGUGAAGAACUCUUGAAUGAGUUUGAUUUGAGCUUAUUUAUGUUUACUCACUAAGUAAAUAAAUAAAUUUAAACAAAAUUUAGACCUCAUUUAAUGAAUGAGCCAAGCUCAAAUAAAAGCUUGUUUAGCUUAUUUAUAUUUAGAAACAGGCUCAUAUAAUAAGAGUAUAUGUAUAUUUGUAAGAUGUUUUAGGGUUUAUUUUGUUUUUUCUGUAAAUGUAAUUCAUUAAACCAGAAAAUCGCAAAAAAUGUCUACAAGAAAAAGUUAGGGCAUAUUCUGCUAUAAAACAAAGAAUUAAAGAAACAGAACAACACUCACAAGAAAAGAAGCAAAAGAUUAUAACUUCAAACAAAUGAGGCAGAAAGGAAAAUACAAUAGAGAGAAACUUGAAGUAAUAGGAGGAUAGUAGCAAGCAACCCAAGAUGAAAGACUUGAGAG